This 301-nucleotide ribosomal RNA is filed under the name uncultured bacterium. RNAcentral describes it as "partial 16S ribosomal RNA". It matches the Rfam family "Bacterial small subunit ribosomal RNA", at positions 509 to 807 of the family's 1533-position model. The record is from RNAcentral.
CAGUCGCCGCGGGAACACGAAGGGUGCAAGCAUUAAUCGGAAUUACUGGGCGUAAAGGGUGCGUAGACGGUUGUUUAAGUCUAUUGUGAAAUCCCCGGGCUCAACCUGGGAAUUGCAGUGGAUACUGGGUCACUAGAGUGUGGUAGAGGAUAGUGGAAUUUCCGGUGUAGCAGUGAAAUGCGUAGAGAUCGGAAGGAACAUCUGUGGCGAAGGCGACUAUCUGGACCAACACUGACACUGAGGCACGAAAGCGUGGGGAGCAAACAGGAUUAGAUACCCCUGUAGUCCCUGUCUCUUAUAC